RNAcentral lists this ribosomal RNA (493 nucleotides) under uncultured bacterium. RNAcentral describes it as "partial 16S ribosomal RNA". It matches the Rfam family "Bacterial small subunit ribosomal RNA", at positions 29 to 507 of the family's 1533-position model. The record is from RNAcentral.
AUGAACGCUGGCGGCGUGCCUAAUACAUGCAAGUCGAGCGAACGGACGAGAAGCUUGCUUCUCUGAUGUUAGCGGCGGACGGGUGAGUAACACGUGGAUAACCUACCUAUAAGACUGGGAUAACUUCGGGAAACCGGAGCUAAUACCGGAUAAUAUUUUGAACCGCAUGGUUCAAAAGUGAAAGACGGUCUUGCUGUCACUUAUAGAUGGAUCCGCGCUGCAUUAGCUAGUUGGUAAGGUAACGGCUUACCAAGGCAACGAUGCAUAGCCGACCUGAGAGGAUGGUCGACCACACAGGAACUGAGACACGGUCCAGACUCCUACGGGAGGCAGCAGGAGGGAAUCUUCCGCAAUGGGCGAAAGGCUGGCGGAGCAACGCCGCGGGAGUGAAGGUCUUCGGAUCGUAAAACUCUGUUAUUAGGGAAGAACAUAUGUGUAAGUAACUGUGCACAUCUUGACGGUACCUAAUCAGAAAGCCACGGCUAACUACGUG